GGCGCCAUGAACAAGCCUUUUAACGAAAACUCAAGAUCUUCACAACUGAACAUCGCACAGGCCUUUAGAUUAGACUGACCACAAAAAAAGACAUUGAUGUCAUAAAAUUUCUAGGAGUAGUUCGUCGCAGCGUAAAAUAUGUCACUUCCUGUUGCCAAUAGGUGGCGCUAUGACUAUAACUGAAUAUGGGCAUGUCAAUCUGUUCAGGUUCGGAGUCUCAUCAAACAUGUGAAGUUUGGGGCAGAUUGGACAUUGUAUGUGUGAGUUAUAGCAACUUCAUUUUUCAUGGCGAAUCAUCGAAAUUCGCCAGGCCGCCACGGACACGCCCUUCAACGAAAACUCAAGAUCUUCGCAAUUUAACAUCGCAAAGGCCUUUAGAUUAGGCAUACCACAUUUGGUGUUGAUUUGAAGAACUCUCUAGGAGGAGUUCGUUAAAAUACAACACAUGGAAAUGACCAAAAUUACACAAAAUAUGCUCAUAAUAUUAAAAAUAACCGACUUCCUGUUGGGUUUAGAAUUUCGCUCCAAGAGUCUUUUUUGUAGCUAUUGGUGUGUUACAUAUGUGUGCCAAUUUUCGUGCAUGUACGUGAAACAUAGCUGGAAGGCUGUUGAUUUUCUUGGUAUAGGUGGCGCUGUCGAGCCAUUUUGCCACACCCUCUUCUGAAUCCUAUAUCAGACGAAAAUUUUCACCAGGUUUGACGCGUGUGCAAAGUUUCAUGACUUUUUGAGCAUGUUAAAGCCCUCAAAAAUGCGAUUCAUUCGGGAGAAGAAGAAGAAGAAGAAUAAUAAUAAUUAAAGCUGCAAGCAGCGAUGAACGGGCCCUCGCACCCGGGCUCACCGGCAGCGAGUGGCUUUAGUUAAUAGGUGAACGGUGAGAAAUAUGCGUUUAAACUCAUAAAUAUAAGUAGAAUAUAUCAAUGUUUAUUCCAUAUAUGUGCCAAUCUUCCUGUUGCCAGCAGGUGGCGCUAUCAUUAUAGUGGAAUAUUGGCCUUCAGAUGUGUUCAGGGCAGGACUUUUGUCGAACAUGUGAGGUUUGGAGAGGAUUGGACAUUUUAUGCCUGAGUUACAACAACAUCCUAUUUCAUGGCGAAACAUCGAAAUUUGUCAGGCCGCCAUGGACACGCCCUUUAACGAAACCUCAAGAUCUUCGCAAUUUUAGAUCGCAAAAGGCUUUAGAUUACACUGACCAAGUUUGGUGUUGAUCUGAAUAAAUCUCUAGGAGGAGUUCGUUAAAGUCCAACCCCUGAAAAUGGCCAAAACAACACUAAUUUUGCAGAGAAAAUUCGAAAUAACUGACUUCCUGUUGGGAUUCGGAUUUUGUACCAAGAGACUUUUUUGUAGAUAUUGGUGUGUUACAUGUGUGUACCGAUUUUUGUACAUGUACGUGAAACAUAGCUCGAGGCGCACUCCGUUUAAAGUGUAUACGCACUCCGUUGAAAGUGUAUAGGUGGCGCUAUCGAGCCAUUUUGCCACAUUCGAUGGAAUAUUGGCCUUCAGAUCUGUUUAGGCCAGGACCCUUAUCACACAAGUGAAGUUUGGGCAAGAUCGGACAUUUUAUGCCUGAGUUAUAACAUCUUUUAUUCCCAUGGCAAGACAUCGAACUUCAUCACAGCGCCAUGGACACACCUUUUAACAAAAACUCAAGAUCUUCACAACUAAACAUCACACAGGUCUUUAGAUUAGACUGACCACAAAAAAGACAUU
Carassius gibelio (silver crucian carp) is the source of this 1704-nucleotide long non-coding RNA. RefSeq lists it as uncharacterized. The transcript has 3 exons. The record is from RefSeq and is a predicted model, not a curated record. NCBI's taxonomy places the organism in Eukaryota, Metazoa, Chordata, Actinopteri, Cypriniformes, Cyprinidae.